UCCCUGGUGGCUCAGAUGGUAAAGCGUCUGCCUACAAUGCGGGAGGCCCAGGUUCGAUCCCUGGGUUGGGAA
RNAcentral lists this transfer RNA (72 nucleotides) under Bos taurus (domestic cattle). It matches the Rfam family "tRNA". From Rfam's summary of the family: Transfer RNA (tRNA) molecules are approximately 80 nucleotides in length. Lineage: Eukaryota; Metazoa; Chordata; Mammalia; Artiodactyla; Bovidae. The record is from Rfam by way of RNAcentral. RNAcentral also lists the same sequence under 2 other names.